UUAAUUGAAACCAAAAAGAGGUUUAUCACUGUUAAUGAUAAUAAUGAAUUUAAUCCAAUUAAA
This 63-nucleotide transfer RNA is filed under the name Cassida viridis. RNAcentral's name for it is "tRNA-Asn". Lineage: Eukaryota; Metazoa; Arthropoda; Insecta; Coleoptera; Chrysomelidae. The record is from RNAcentral.